RNAcentral lists this ribosomal RNA (469 nucleotides) under uncultured bacterium. Its description in RNAcentral is "partial 16S ribosomal RNA". It matches the Rfam family "Bacterial small subunit ribosomal RNA", at positions 28 to 507 of the family's 1533-position model. The record is from RNAcentral.
GACGAACGCUGGCGGCGUGCUUAACACAUGCAAGUCGAACGGAAAGGCCCUGCUUGCAGGGUGCUCGAGUGGCGAACGGGUGAGUAACACGUGGGUGAUCUGCCCCUUACUUUGGGAUAAGCCUGGGAAACUGGGUCUAAUACUGGAUAGGACCAUGCUGUAGGUGGUGUGGUGGAAAGAUUAGUUUCGGUAAGGGAUGAGCUCGCGGCCUAUCAGCUUGUUGGUGGGGUAAUGGCCUACCAAGGCGUCGACGGGUAGCCGGCCUGAGAGGGUGGACGGCCACAUUGGGACUGAGAUACGGCCCAGAAUCCUACGGGAGGCAGCAGAGGGGAAUAUUGCACAAUGGGCGCAAGCCUGAUGCAGCGACGCCGCGUGGGGGAUGACGGCCUUCGGGUUGUAAACUCCUUUCAGCCAUGACGAAGCCCUUGUGGUGGCGGUAGUGGUAGAAGAAGCACCGGCUAACUACGUG